Molecule: long non-coding RNA, 850 nt
Filed under: Ananas comosus (pineapple)
Lineage: Eukaryota; Viridiplantae; Streptophyta; Magnoliopsida; Poales; Bromeliaceae
Description: long non-coding RNA (ACOM_LNC014186)
Source: RNAcentral
UGGAAAAAAUACAUGCAACAGAAUAUUUUUAACAAACUAAGCAGGGACGAAGCUAGGAUUCAAUCUGGAGGGAGGCCAAAAUAUAUUUAAAUAGAAACUUUAGUAAUAAAUAAUAAACAAUUUUUUUUUCUAAUUAAAAUUUUUUAUUAAAAAAUUAUUAAUUAAAUAAAUAAUGUAAAAGUAUGAACUUUAUGUUUUUUAUUUUCAUAUGUUUAACUUCUAAUUAUUUUUUUUAUAUUAUUACAUUAAAAUAACUUAGAAAUUUUACUAAAUCUAACAGUAAUUUUUUAAUUUUUUAGUAAAUAAAAUUAACAUAGCUAUUAAAUUUAAUGCAAUUAUUGAUUUAGUCAAAUAAAAGAGCUCACCUAAGAUAAAUAAAAGUUUUAAAAAAUUAUUAAAUAAAAUUUUUAGAGUAGAGAAAUAUAUUACAAAAUACUCUAUAAGCAAGAAGCUUUUAAUAUAUUUUCACCCAUAAAAAGAGUAUACCGAUUAGGAAAAAGAGAGAGAGAGUUACAUUGGCACCAUAUUAUUAAGUAAAUAUUGAAUAAGUAGAAAGGCCAAAGCUAUCCAUGGUCCACAAAAAAAAAAAAAAAAAAAAAAAAAAAACUUUGAAGGACCAUUAAACAAAUAUUGAAAAGUUAAGGGGGCCAUGGCCACCUUGGGCCUCCAUGGCAAAAGGCUUGGUGGUUGGUUCUCGAGACCCAACUUCAAAUCAUAGUUGAUUUAUAUUUCCAGCUAAAUUUAUUUCUAAAUGAAAUAAACGAAGUGGAUAGCGUGCUAUCUAUCUCUCAAAAAAUAUAUAUAUAUUUGUAAUCAUUAAUUAUAUCUAAGUAUUUAUUUGUCAUUUUUU